GAUGAACGCUGGCGGCGUGCCUAAUACAUGCGAGUCGAGCGAACGGACGAGAAGCUUGCUUCUCUGAUGUUAGCGGCGGACGGGGGAGUAACACGUGGAUAACCUACCUAUAAGACUGGGAUAACUUCGGGAAACCGGAGCUAAUACCGGAUAAUAUUUUGAACCGCAUGGUUCAAAAGUGAAAGACGGUCUUGCUUUCACUUAUAGAUGGAUCCGCGCCGCAUUAGCUAGUUGGUAAGGUAACGGCUUACCAAGGCAACGAUGCAUAGCCGACCUGAGAGGGUGAUCGGCCACACUGGAACUGAGAAACGGUGCAGACUCCUACGGGAGGCAGCAGUAGGGAAUCUUACGCAAUGGGCGGAAGCCUGACGGAGCAACGCCGCGUGAGUGAUGAAGGUCUUCGGAUCGUAAAACUCUGUUAUUAGGGAAGAACAUAUGUGUAAGUAACUGUGCACAUCUUGACGGUACCUAAUCAGAAAGCGACGGCUAACUACGUG
Molecule: ribosomal RNA, 497 nt
Filed under: uncultured bacterium
Lineage: Bacteria
Description: partial 16S ribosomal RNA
Rfam family: Bacterial small subunit ribosomal RNA
Source: RNAcentral